RNAcentral lists this ribosomal RNA (372 nucleotides) under uncultured organism. RNAcentral's name for it is "partial 16S ribosomal RNA". It matches the Rfam family "Bacterial small subunit ribosomal RNA", at positions 527 to 896 of the family's 1533-position model. The record is from RNAcentral.
GUAGGUGGCAAGCGUUGUCCGGAAUUAUUGGGCGUAAAGCGCGCGCAGGCGGUUCUUUAAGUCUGAUGUGAAAGCCCACGGCUCAACCGUGGAGGGUCAUUGGAAACUUGAGAACUUGAGUACAGAAGAGGAAAGCGGAAUUCCACGUGUAGCGGUGAAAUGCGUAGAGAUGUGGAGGAACACCAGUGGCGAAGGCGGCUUUCUGGUCUGUAACUGACGCUGAGGCGCGAAAGCGUGGGGAGCAAACAGGAUUAGAUACCCUGGUAGUCCACGCCGUAAACGAUGAGUGCUAAGUGUUAGGGGGUUUCCGCCCCCCUUAGUGCUGCAGCUAGCGCAUUAAGCACUCCGCCUGGGAGUACGGCCGCAAGGCUG